GAUGAACGCUGGCGGCGUGCCUAAUACAUGCAAGUCGAGCGAACAGACGAGGAGCUUGCUCCUCUGACGUUAGCGGCGGACGGGUGAGUAACACGUGGAUAACCUACCUAUAAGACUGGGAUAGCUUCGGAAAACCGGAGCUAAUACCGGAUAAUAUAUUGAACCGCAUGGUUCAAUAGUGAAAGACGGUUUUGCUGUCACUUAUAGAUGGAUCCGCGCCGCAUUAGCUAGUUGGUAAGGUAACGGCUUACCAAGGCAACGAUGCGUAGCCGACCUGAGAGGGUGAUCGGCCACACUGGAACUGAGACACGGUCCAGACUCCUACGGGAGGCAGCAGUAGGGAAUCUUCCGCAAUGGGCGAAAGCCUGACGGAGCAACGCCGCGUGAGUGAUGAAGGUCUUCGGAUCGUAAAACUCUGUUAUUAGGGAAGAACAAAUGUGUAAGUAACUAUGCACGUCUUGACGGUACCUAAUCAGAAAGCCACGGCUAACUACGUG
Molecule: ribosomal RNA, 497 nt
Filed under: uncultured bacterium
Lineage: Bacteria
Description: partial 16S ribosomal RNA
Rfam family: Bacterial small subunit ribosomal RNA
Source: RNAcentral